GACGAACGCUGGCGGCGUGCCUAAUACAUGCAAGUCGAACGAGAGCAACCGGUGCUUGCACUGGUCAAUCUAGUGGCGAACGGGUGAGUAACACGUGGGUAACCUGCCCAUCAGAGGGGGAUAACAUCCGGAAACGGAUGCUAAAACCGCAUAGGUCUUCGAACCGCAUGGUUUGAAGAGGAAAAGAGGCGCAAGCUUCUGCUGAUGGAUGGACCCGCGGUGCAUUAGCUAGUUGGUGAGGUAACGGCUCACCAAGGCCGUGAUGCAUAGCCGACCUGAGAGGGUGAUCGGCCACAUUGGGACUGAGACACGGCCCAAACUCCUACGGGAGGCAGCAGUAGGGAAUCUUCCGCAAUGGACGCAAGUCUGACGGAGCAACGCCGCGUGAGUGAAGAAGGUUUUCGGAUCGUAAAACUCUGUUGUUAGAGAAGAACAAGUGCUAGAGUAACUGUUAGCGCCUUGACGGUAUCUAACCAUAAAGCCACGGCUAACUACGUG
Molecule: ribosomal RNA, 498 nt
Filed under: uncultured bacterium
Lineage: Bacteria
Description: partial 16S ribosomal RNA
Rfam family: Bacterial small subunit ribosomal RNA
Source: RNAcentral